Molecule: ribosomal RNA, 503 nt
Filed under: uncultured bacterium
Lineage: Bacteria
Description: partial 16S ribosomal RNA
Rfam family: Bacterial small subunit ribosomal RNA
Source: RNAcentral
AUUGAACGCUGGCGGCAGGCUUAACACAUGCAAGUCGAGCGGGGUGAUGGUGCUUGCACUAUCACUUAGCGGCGGACGGGUGAGUAAUGCUUAGGAAUCUGCCUAUUAGUGGGGGACAACAUCUCGAAAGGGAUGCUAAUACCGCAUACGUCCUACGGGAGAAAGCAGGGGAUCACUUGUGACCUUGCGCUAAUAGAUGAGCCUAAGUCGGAUUAGCUAGUUGGUGUGGUAAAGGCCUACCAAGGCGACGAUCUGUAGCGGGUCUGAGAGGAUGAUCCGCCACACGUGGACUGAGACACGGCCCAGAAUCCUACGGGAGGCAGCAGUGGGGAAUAUUGGACAAUGGGGGGAACCCUGAUCCAGCCAUGCCGCGUGUGUGAAGAAGGCCUUAUGGUUGUAAAGCACUUUAAGCGAGGAGGAGGCUCUUUUGGUUAAUACCCAAGAUGAGUGGACGUUACUCGCAGAAUAAGCACCGGCUAACUCUGUGCCAGCCGCCGCAGUAA